GGGCCCAUAGCUCAAUGGUCAGAGCAGAGGACUCAUAAUCCUUUGGUUCCAGGUUCGAAUCCUGGUGGGCCCACCA
RNAcentral lists this transfer RNA (76 nucleotides) under Spiribacter vilamensis. Its description in RNAcentral is "Halopeptonella vilamensis tRNA-Met". It matches the Rfam family "tRNA". Rfam says of the family: Transfer RNA (tRNA) molecules are approximately 80 nucleotides in length. Their secondary structure includes four short double-helical elements and three loops (D, anti-codon, and T loops). RNAcentral also lists the same sequence under 7 other names. Lineage: Bacteria; Pseudomonadati; Pseudomonadota; Gammaproteobacteria; Chromatiales; Ectothiorhodospiraceae. The record is from RNAcentral.